GUGGGGAAUCUUCCGCAAUGGACGAAAGUCUGACGGAGCAACGCCGCGUGAGUGAAGAAGGUUUUCGGAUCGUAAAGCUCUGUUGUUUGAGACGAAUGUGCAGACUUUGAAUAAGGGUUUGUAAUGACGGUAUUAAACGAGAAAGCCACGGCUAACUACGUGCCAGCAGCCGCGGUAAUACGUAGGUGGCAAGCGUUGUCCGGAAUUAUUGGGCGUAAAGGGAGCGCAGGUGGGAAUGUAAGUCAGUCUUAAAAGUGCGGGGCUCAACCCCGUGAGGGGAUUGAAACUACAUUUCUUGAGUGCAGGAGAGGAAAGUGGAAUUCCUAGUGUAGCGGUGAAAUGCGUAGAGAUUAGGAGGAACACCAGUGGCGAAGGCGACUUUCUGGGAUGCAACUGACGCUCAUGCACGAAAGCGUGGAGAUCAAACAGGAUUAGAAACCCGGGUAGUCC
RNAcentral lists this ribosomal RNA (450 nucleotides) under uncultured bacterium. Its description in RNAcentral is "partial 16S ribosomal RNA". It matches the Rfam family "Bacterial small subunit ribosomal RNA", at positions 354 to 796 of the family's 1533-position model. The record is from RNAcentral.